RNAcentral lists this long non-coding RNA (548 nucleotides) under Sinocyclocheilus grahami. Its description in RNAcentral is "lncRNA (ENSSGRG00000038096.1)". Lineage: Eukaryota; Metazoa; Chordata; Actinopteri; Cypriniformes; Cyprinidae. The record is from RNAcentral.
CUCUGAACGACUGAGAGACCAGACCAGACCAGAUCAGAGGUUAUGAGGAGAUUUCUCAGAGUUGACAGACAUGAAGAUUACGGUCAGAUUCAGCAUCUCACGGCUAAAUGCAUCCGGCUGUUUCAGGAGAAAGCAGUGCUCCAGCGAGAGCUGCUGGUGUCUGGUGAGCGUCAGCAGGUUCUGCAGGCAGAGAUGGAGGGACUGUCGGUGCGUGUGUGUCAGAAGGAGCAGCUCUAUGUGGAGCUGAGCAUCAAAUAUGAACAACUUCUGGAGCGAUUUCAGAUACAGCAGGAACAGGCCGAUCUCCUGCAGCAGCAUUUAAUCUCUGUGACGGAGGAGCGCUGGAGGGACGCCUCACUGCUGUGUCUUCAGCUGGAGCAGGUGAGCUGUGAUUUACAGCAGCUGCAGGGCUCAGAAAAGCAGCUCAUGGGUCUGGUGGACGAGCUGCACCAGGAGGCCCAGCUCAGAGCCCAGCAGGCUGAGGUCCUGGAGACGCAGCUCCGCGAGGAGACUCAGAAAAUAAAAGACCUAGAGAUGCAGCUAAACAG